This is a long non-coding RNA of Acanthopagrus latus (yellowfin seabream), 2403 nucleotides long. RefSeq lists it as uncharacterized. The transcript is spliced from 3 exons. The record is from RefSeq and is a predicted model, not a curated record. Lineage: Eukaryota; Metazoa; Chordata; Actinopteri; Spariformes; Sparidae.
GAUGAAGUUAAUCUACCAACAGUGAGAGGUCAAAGUCAACGGCCUGAUGUCUAUACAUGCUGUGCAAAGAUGUGACUGCUAUUACAUGUUCCAAAGGGCACUGGCAACCCAAUCCUUGUAGGAAAAACUGUCUCGUUUCAUGUACGUCUCCAAACAGGACGUGAGUUCGCUAAGUCCAUAAGCCCGGAGGCUAGAACACCGACCAAAGUGCUGCGGUUCACCUGCAUCUGGCACGGCAGCUGGCACAGGCACAGGUACGGGCCACCCAGGGUCUGGUGGCGCGGGUGUGGCACAUCUGGAUAUGGGGAAAAGGAGGAAGAGAGGGGCGCACGCACACACACACACACACACACACACACACACACACACACACACACAAAUUCAAACGUAAAGACAGAGAUGCAAAACGGCUCCAUCCCGUUGAUUGGUCAGGUGGGCUCAUCUCUUAAUGCACUCACAGGCCGAUUCCCUGGCAGCGGAUCAGGCAGACAAGUCACUGACCUGGAACUAACCCACGCGACACACAGGGUCAAGGUGUGACCCUUUGAUGCUCCGGUGUGGCGCAUUAAUGCAGGUACUGGCAGUGCUACCUGAAGAGGAUGUACAGGAGAGAGAGUGGAAUAAUCCCAGCAUGAUGUUUCCCUUGUGCGCAUCUAUGUGAGUCUCUUGUGUGUGUGUGUGUGUGUGUGUGUGUGUGUGUCACCAGAGUGCAGGAGGAUUGUGGGGGUGGCGAGGGAGGAGGAAAAGGUCUGCCAAGCAUAAAGGACAAGGCGGUAAAGAGGAGCAGACAAGAAGAUAAGGAGAUUGGGACACAGACAGGGAGCCGGGAGCCAGGCCGCGUUAAAGGUAGUCGGAAAAGAAGCCGAUGUACUCCAGGCGGGCGGAGGAGAGGAGGCUGCCCAGUUCUCGCCUCCAUCUGCGGCGUUAAGUAAGAGCUCGAGGAGGCAGCGGAGAGCAUGUGUGCAAGGGAGAGUAAGCCGGGGCAUCUGGUUUUGUUAAGGCCUCAGAACAUUCCUUCCCUCUGUUCGACUCUGGCUGGCAGCUUUUAAAGGGACACGUCCGCUCUCAUAUCCUGCUCGGGGCAUCGCCUUCUCUCUUGAAGUUCGAUUUAUGACCGCUGAGGGUCACGGGCAAGAUGUCUGCCUGUCCGAUUAUAUGAGGGCUCUUGUGCAUGACACUCAGCCGAGAGACGCUGCGUGUCUUUUAUGAAACAGAGGAGGAAAAGCAGAAGGACGUUGAUGACAGCAGGCUUCAGCCAGUUGAUCAGCUGAUUUAUUUCCCAUUUGAGUGUCAUCAUUUGGGUAUUUUUUUUUCUGACUGUUUAUGAAGCACACAAAUAAAAAAAGACAUAAAAGAGGAUGCCUGCUACCCACUGUCACCAGUAGCAGUUAGGAUUUCUCUGAUCUGAACUGCUUUGUCCAUGUUUUUACGUUAAAAGGAUAAAUCCACGCAAAAAUGAAAAUAACAUCAAUCCUCUCACCGCCAUGCUCAAAGAAAGUGAGGCUUCGUAGUCCGCAAGACAUUUUUUGAGCUUCACAGCAAAACAGAGCUGCAGCAUUCUCGUAGAGGACGGAAGCAGAUGGGUAUCAAAAUGUUAAACGACACCUGAUAAAAAAUAAAUAAAUAAAAUGGCUUGUUUGGUGUAACCCAAGUUUCUGAAAGCACUGACAUCACCAAAUUGAACUGAAAAGAUGUUUUUACAGCAUUUCAAGCUGAAACUUGAGUUGUGGCGGCCAAGCUAAAAGUGUUAGCAUCCAGCCUGUCCACGUGUAGAGGGUGUGAGGGAUAUUGGGGCUUUAGUUCACCUGGAUUACGCCAAGUGUAGACAUUUUAUGGUAUUUUUCCAGCUGUUUUAAAACAAGUCCCCAUCUGCUUCAGUUGUUCAGGAGAAUGCUGCAACACCGUUUUGCUACCAAACUUCACUCGACUUUCAGUUGGCAUGGAGGUGAGUAGAUUAUGACUUAAUUUAUCCUUUAUGGUUCACUGGAAGUUUUCGUAUAGCCAAAAAUCCUUUCCAGGUGUUUGUCUUUCCUUCCAAUUUUAACAAGGAGCUGCAUUUCUAAAAUGAGGAAAAGAAAAGGGCUUGGAUUUGACUGCUGAUGCUGAACUAAAAUGUGUGUUUUUUUUUUCUCUUUCUUAAGGAUGAUGCAAGCCAGGUGAAACUGUGCACCGACACUGUGCAACGACAUCAUAAUAACAUGUCAUUAAAUACAAAUGCUAAACUGCACAGCUAUCAUGAAAACUAACCCAAAAUGACAGAGUCUGCAGUCCCCAUGAUGCAAUGCUUUUGUUACAUGAUACAGCAAGUGUCAUGGUAUGAAUCUCAACGCAUGAACGUGCCGCAUAAGUAACAGGAUUUUUGUGCAGAGAGGCUGGAUGCGUUUGGUCAUUAUCGUUGUGUGC